AACGUAGGGGGCCAGCGUUGCUCGGAAUUACUGGGCGUAAAGCGCGCGUAGGCGGCUUUGUAAGUUAGAGGUGAAAGCCCGGGGCUCAACCCCGGAACUGCCUUUAAAACUGCAUCGCUUGAAUCCGGGAGAGGUGAGUGGAAUUCCGAGUGUAGAGGUGAAAUUCGUAGAUAUUCGGAAGAACACCAGUGGCGAAGGCGGCUCACUGGACCGGUAUUGACGCUGAUGUGCGAAAGCGUGGGGAGCAAACAGG
This 253-nucleotide ribosomal RNA is filed under the name uncultured bacterium. RNAcentral describes it as "partial 16S ribosomal RNA". It matches the Rfam family "Bacterial small subunit ribosomal RNA", at positions 524 to 776 of the family's 1533-position model. The record is from RNAcentral.